Molecule: ribosomal RNA, 492 nt
Filed under: uncultured bacterium
Lineage: Bacteria
Description: partial 16S ribosomal RNA
Rfam family: Bacterial small subunit ribosomal RNA
Source: RNAcentral
AGUGAACGCUGGCGGUAGGCCUAACACAUGCAAGUCGAACGGCAGCACAGUAAGAGCUUGCUCUUACCGGUGGCGAGUGGCGGACGGGUGAGGAAUACAUCGGAAUCUACUUUUUCGUGGGGGAUAACGUAGGGAAACUUACGCUAAUACCGCAUACGACCUACGGGUGAAAGCAGUGGAUCUUCGGACCUUGCGCGAUUGAAUGAGCCGAUGUCGGAUUAGCUAGUUGGCGGGGUAAAGGCCCACCAAGGCGACGAUCCGUAGCUGGUCUGAGAGGAUGAUCAGCCACACUGGAACUGAGGCACGGUCCAGACUCCUACGGGAGGCAGCAGUGGGGAAUAUUGGACAAUGGGCGCAAGCCUGAUCCAGCCAUACCGCGUGGGUGAAGAAGGCCUUCGGGUUGUAAAGCCCUUUUGUUGGGAAAGAAAAGCAGCAGGUUAAUACCCCGCUGUUCUGACGGUACCCAAAGAAUAAGCACCGGCUAACUUCGUG